UGGUUCAGAACGAAUGCUGGAGGCAGGCCUAACACAUGCAAGUCGAACGCUCGUAGCAAUACGAGAGUGGCAGACGGGUGAGUAACACGUGGGAACCUUCCCUAUGGUUCGGAAUAGCCCAGGGAAACUUGGGGUAAUACCGGAUAAGCCCUUACGGGGAAAGAUUUAUCGCCAUUGGAUGGGCCCGCGUCGGAUUAGCUAGUUGGUGAGGUAACGGCUCACCAAGGCGAGGGUCAGUAGCUGGUCUGAGAGGAUGAUCAGCCACACUGGGACUUUAUCACGGCCCANAGAAAUACGGGAGGC
This 303-nucleotide ribosomal RNA is filed under the name uncultured Alphaproteobacteria bacterium. RNAcentral describes it as "bacterial SSU rRNA". It matches the Rfam family "Bacterial small subunit ribosomal RNA", at positions 20 to 352 of the family's 1533-position model. The record is from RNAcentral. Lineage: Bacteria; Pseudomonadati; Pseudomonadota; Alphaproteobacteria.